AGGUCGAGCGGACCGACGGGAGCUUGCUCCCUUAGGUCAGCGGCGGACGGGUGAGUAACACGUGGGUAACCUGCCUGUAAGACUGGGAUAACUCCGGGAAACCGGGGCUAAUACCGGAUGCUUGAUUGAACCGCAUGGUUCAAUCAUAAAAGGUGGCUUUUAGCUACCACUUGCAGAUGGACCCGCGGCGCAUUAGCUAGUUGGUGAGGUAACGGCUCACCAAGGCGACGAUGCGUAGCCGACCUGAGAGGGUGAUCGGCCACACUGGGACUGAGACACGGCCCAGACUCCUACGGGAGGCAGCAGUAGGGAAUCUUCCGCAAUGGACGAAAGUCUGACGGAGCAACGCCGCGUGAGUGAUGAAGGUUUUCGGAUCGUAAAACUCUGUUGUUAGGGAAGAACAAGUACCGUUCGAAUAGGGCGGUACCUUGACGGUACCUAACCAGAAAGCCACGGCUAACUACGUGCCAGCAGCCGCGGUAAUACGUAGGUGGCAAGCGUUGUCCGGAAUUAUUGGGCGUAAAGCGCGCGCAGGCGGUUUCUUAAGUCUGAUGUGAAAGCCCCCGGCUCAACCGGGGAGGGUCAUUGGAAACUGGGGAACUUGAGUGCAGAAGAGGAGAGUGGAAUUCCACGUGUAGCGGUGAAAUGCGUAGAGAUGUGGAGGAACACCAGUGGCGAAGGCGACUCUCUGGUCUGUAACUGACGCUGAGGCGCGAAAGCGUGGGGAGCGAACAGGAUUAGAUACCCUGGUAGUCCACGCCGUAAACGAUGAGUGCUAAGUGUUAGAGGGUUUCCGCCCUUUAGUUGCUGCAGCAAACGCAUUAAGCACUUCGCC
RNAcentral lists this ribosomal RNA (835 nucleotides) under Bacillus licheniformis. Its description in RNAcentral is "bacterial SSU rRNA". It matches the Rfam family "Bacterial small subunit ribosomal RNA", at positions 59 to 873 of the family's 1533-position model. Lineage: Bacteria; Bacillati; Bacillota; Bacilli; Caryophanales; Bacillaceae. The record is from RNAcentral.